RNAcentral lists this ribosomal RNA (497 nucleotides) under uncultured bacterium. Its description in RNAcentral is "partial 16S ribosomal RNA". It matches the Rfam family "Bacterial small subunit ribosomal RNA", at positions 28 to 507 of the family's 1533-position model. The record is from RNAcentral.
GAUGAACGCUGGCGGCGUGCCUAAUACAUGCAAGUCGAGCGAACAGACGAGGAGCUUGCUCCUCUGACGUUAGCGGCGGACGGGUGAGUAACACGUGGAUAACCUACCUAUAAGACUGGGUUAACUUCGGGAAACCGGAGCUAAUACCGGAUAAUAUAUUGAACCGCAUGGUUCAAUAGUGAAAGACGGUUUUGCUGUCACUUAUAGAUGGAUCCGCGCCGCAUUAGCUAGUUGGUAAGGGAACGGCUUACCAAGGCAACGAUGCGUAGCCGACCUGAGAGGGUGAUCGGCCACACUGGAACUGAGACACGGUCCAGACUCCUACGGGAGGCAGCAGUAGGGAAUCUUCCGCAAUGGGCGAAAGCCUGACGGAGCAACGCCGCGUGAGAGAUGAAGGUCUUCGGAUCGUAAAACUCUGUUAUUAGGGAAGAACAAAUGUGUAAGUAACUAUGCACGUCUUGACGGUACCUAAUCAGAAAGCCACGGCUAACUACGUG